CAAGAUAGCGCAGUCGGUAGCGCAACUGAUUCGUAAUCAGUAGGUCGAGGGUUCGAGUCCCUUUCUUG
This 68-nucleotide transfer RNA is filed under the name uncultured Eisenbergiella sp. It matches the Rfam family "tRNA". From Rfam's summary of the family: Transfer RNA (tRNA) molecules are approximately 80 nucleotides in length. The record is from RNAcentral. Lineage: Bacteria; Bacillati; Bacillota; Clostridia; Lachnospirales; Lachnospiraceae.